This 655-nucleotide ribosomal RNA is filed under the name Bacillus sp. MR-CH-I3. Its description in RNAcentral is "bacterial SSU rRNA". It matches the Rfam family "Bacterial small subunit ribosomal RNA", at positions 59 to 694 of the family's 1533-position model. The record is from RNAcentral. Lineage: Bacteria; Bacillati; Bacillota; Bacilli; Caryophanales; Bacillaceae.
AAGUCGAGCGAAUGGAUUGAGAGCUUGCUCUCAAGAAGUUAGCGGCGGACGGGUGAGUAACACGUGGGUAACCUGCCCAUAAGACUGGGAUAACUCCGGGAAACCGGGGCUAAUACCGGAUAAUAUUUUGAACUGCAUGGUUCGAAAUUGAAAGGCGGCUUCGGCUGUCACUUAUGGAUGGACCCGCGUCGCAUUAGCUAGUUGGUGAGGUAACGGCUCACCAAGGCAACGAUGCGUAGCCGACCUGAGAGGGUGAUCGGCCACACUGGGACUGAGACACGGCCCAGACUCCUACGGGAGGCAGCAGUAGGGAAUCUUCCGCAAUGGACGAAAGUCUGACGGAGCAACGCCGCGUGAGUGAUGAAGGCUUUCGGGUCGUAAAACUCUGUUGUUAGGGAAGAACAAGUGCUAGUUGAAUAAGCUGGCACCUUGACGGUACCUAACCAGAAAGCCACGGCUAACUACGUGCCAGCAGCCGCGGUAAUACGUAGGUGGCAAGCGUUAUCCGGAAUUAUUGGGCGUAAAGCGCGCGCAGGUGGUUUCUUAAGUCUGAUGUGAAAGCCCACGGCUCAACCGUGGAGGGUCAUUGGAAACUGGGAGACUUGAGUGCAGAAGAGGAAAGUGGAAUUCCAUGUGUAGCGGUGAAAUGCGUAGA